Molecule: ribosomal RNA, 245 nt
Filed under: uncultured bacterium
Lineage: Bacteria
Description: partial 16S ribosomal RNA
Rfam family: Bacterial small subunit ribosomal RNA
Source: RNAcentral
GUGCGAACGUUGUUCGGAAUUACUGGGCGUAAAGCGCGUGUAGGCGGCAGCGCAAGUCGGGCGUGAAAUCCCACGGCUCAACCGUGGAAGUGCACUCGAAACUGCGCAGCUAGAGUCCUGGAGAGGAAGGUGGAAUGCUUGGUGUAGAGGUGAAAUUCGUAGAUAUCAAGCGGAACACCGGUGGCGAAGGCGGCCUGCUGGACAGUGACUGACGCUGAGACGCGAAAGCGUGGGGAGCAAACAGG